GGAGAGAUCAAAGCCAUAUUGACCCAUCACGCCAUUUCAGGAUUGGCUGCUGCCUAGGUCUAAAACAUGCUUAGGUAUUGGUGAAAGCCAAAGGUUAGUUUCUUGAAAAGGGAGUGGAGAUGGCCAGUGUGCUGUUGCAAAAGGCUAUACCACUUAGCACACUUUUAUCCAAGGUGACUUUUAGAAUAAGUACGUGAUCCUUGUGGUAACUGAACACACACACCUGUGGUGUUGCUAAUGCCAUACUCUUACCAACUGACACACAGAACUGGAAGGAAGAUUGUCUUCUAAUCUCUAGCCAGCUGUAGCAUUGAAAGUGGUGUAAACCAAAACAAGUUGGUCACAAUUCCCUAGACUUGGACUCACAAGUUCUAGAAGUUGUUUGUUGCAUCACGAUGCCUGAGCAUUCUAUGGCAACACAAUGACCUAAACACUGAAAACAUAUAAUCACUGGUACUUAGGCUAUCUGAUAUUAACACAUAGCUAGCUCUCCUAUGUAGGUUAAUUGCUGAAAGUGGAAGAUAACAGUAGCUACAACUAAUCUGUGUCUUUGGUCACACCCAAUCUCUGACCGACCGACUGCUGAGUCGGUGUAACUCUCACUUCUGUUUCUCUGGGCCAGCCUGCCCUUGUAAGGCAGUCAAAACAACAUAUAGCUUAAAGCGCAGAGUUAAAAUGUGCUGUAUUAAAAAUCAGACGAGAAACCCAAGCCUCACACUCACUCUCCUGUAUAACAAGUGACAGGCUGACACAGACUUGAGAGAAGAGGGUAAGAAGAGGGGCAGGGAAUGAGGCUGCUUAUGUCACCAGUACAAAUGGAUAUGGGUGACCUAGAGACAGAGACUAGAGAGCAGAGAGACUAACUACAGGUCAAAUCCAGCCUAGAGAGCAGAGAGACUAACUACAGGUCAAAUACAGCCUAGAGAGCAGAGAGACUAACUACAGGUCAAAUACAGCCUAGAGAGCAGAGAGACUAACUACAGGUCAAAUACAGCCUAGAGAGCAGAGAGACUAACUACAGGUCAAAUACAGCCUAGAGAGCAGAGAGACUAACUACAGGUCAAAUACAGCCUAGAGAGCAGAGAGACUAACUACAGGUCAAAUACAGCCUAGAGAGCAGAGAGACUAACUACAGGUCAAAUCCAGCCUAGAGAGCAGAGAGACUAACUACAGGUCAAAUACAGCCUAGAGCAGAGAGACUAACUACAGGUCAAAUACAGCCUAGAGAGCAGAGAGACUAACUACAGGUCAAAUACAGCCUAGAGAGCAGAGAGACUAACUACAGGUCAAAUACAGCCUAGAGAGCAGAGAGACUAACUACAGGUCAAAUACAGCCUAGAGAGCAGAGAGACUAACUACAGGUCAAAUACAGCCUAGAGAGCAGAGAGACUAACUACAGGUCAAAUACAGCCUAGAGAGCAGAGAGACUAACUACAGGUCAAAUCCAGCCUAGAGAGCAGAGAGACUAACUACAGGUCAAAUCCAGCCUUGGCGUAGGCUAACAACUUGAUUUACAGCUCACCUUUUUUGUUAUACACUAAGUCAGGGUUCCCCAACUGGCAGCCCGCAGUUCAAUUUAUUCCCCCCCACAAGUUUUCUGAGCAAGAAAAAGGGACAUAAGACUAAAAACACCAGCAAAAUCAGCUAAAUUAACUUUAGAUCUUUUCCAAAGAAUUUCCACACAUAAUAAAGAGAUAUGUAAUCAUAGGCAAAUGUAAGCAAGGUUUGAAAUGACUAUUUUAGUCAAAUGAGAUCUGUUUGGGCUUCUUGCAGUCAAUUUGCAUGUUUACAGUAAUU
Molecule: long non-coding RNA, 1797 nt
Organism: Oncorhynchus keta (chum salmon)
Lineage: Eukaryota; Metazoa; Chordata; Actinopteri; Salmoniformes; Salmonidae
Exons: 6
Source: RefSeq, a predicted model, not a curated record